This 528-nucleotide ribosomal RNA is filed under the name Bifidobacterium longum subsp. suillum. RNAcentral's name for it is "bacterial SSU rRNA". It matches the Rfam family "Bacterial small subunit ribosomal RNA", at positions 153 to 696 of the family's 1533-position model. The record is from RNAcentral. Lineage: Bacteria; Bacillati; Actinomycetota; Actinomycetes; Bifidobacteriales; Bifidobacteriaceae.
AAAACGGGUGGUAAUGCCGGAUGCUCCAGUUGAUCGCAUGGUCUUCUGGGAAAGCUUUCGCGGUAUGGGAUGGGGUCGCGUCCUAUCAGCUUGACGGCGGGGUAACGGCCCACCGUGGCUUCGACGGGUAGCCGGCCUGAGAGGGCGACCGGCCACAUUGGGACUGAGAUACGGCCCAGACUCCUACGGGAGGCAGCAGUGGGGAAUAUUGCACAAUGGGCGCAAGCCUGAUGCAGCGACGCCGCGUGAGGGAUGGAGGCCUUCGGGUUGUAAACCUCUUUUAUCGGGGAGCAAGCGAGAGUGAGUUUACCCGUUGAAUAAGCACCGGCUAACUACGUGCCAGCAGCCGCGGUAAUACGUAGGGUGCAAGCGUUAUCCGGAAUUAUUGGGCGUAAAGGGCUCGUAGGCGGUUCGUCGCGUCCGGUGUGAAAGUCCAUCGCUUAACGGUGGAUCCGCGCCGGGUACGGGCGGGCUUGAGUGCGGUAGGGGAGACUGGAAUUCCCGGUGUAACGGUGGAAUGUGUAGAUA